AGGGGAGAGACCAGAACUUUUGGGUUCAGACUUCAUCUUAGAGAACCUGACAUUAGGUUGACCUAACAGGCCCGUACAUAGCACCAGUUUCCAGGCACAAGAAAUCUACACCUCCAGGUUACAAGGCUACCCUUGACGUUUUACUUCCUAACAACCACCAAUCAGGAGGAAAACAGAAGUUAAGUUUAUGGUUUGUCUCCCAGCACCAGCCAAUACGGAAAAUAGAAUCUUCAGCUCCUAGCCCUUCAGCCUUAAAUGCAGAUCCUAUCACCAUCCCAUGGCUCUCAGGCCUGGAAAUCUGCCCACAGGCUUGACCUGCCUUGACUCUGCCUGAGAGUGGUUUGGUGGUGGUGGACUGUGGGACUUGGGAGAUUGGUGGUCGGAUUGAAAUUGGAGGUCGGUGAUUGGAUUGGAUUUGGAUUUGGUGACUGGAGUUUGACAUUGAUCAUCAGCUACACUUACACCCACAGGGUGUUGUGCUACUCUUGCCCCCAUCCCGUGUAUAUACUGGGGCAGCUUAUAUCCAUUGCCUUUCUGGGUAAGGCUACCUUGAUCAAGUGCAGCCUUUCACUCAGUGCUUCCCUUCAUAAUGGAUGUCUUAGUUUCUGGGAACCCAGAUGAAGAUGAGCAAAUUGUGAUGAAGUCAAGGGAGCUUGAGUCCAGUGGCCACGAAGGGAACACUCUGAUAGAGGAUUACUACAUACUGGGCACCCUAGGGCAAGGGUCCUUUGCUCAAGUCAAGGUUGCUCUCCACCUUAUGACCCAGACUCUGGUAGCUAUCAAGAUAUUGAAAAGGGGCACAAGAAAAGACUUCUUAGUAAUCUCUGAGAUUGACCUCAUGACAUCACUAUACCAUAAUCAUAUAAUAAGGCUUCUCCAGGUCAUUGACACCAAGCACAAAACUUUCCUUGUGAUGGAAUACGCAGCCCAGGGAUCCCUGCGGAAACUUGUCAACAAGCGUGGGCCUCUGGAUGAGGAAGAGGCACGCAGCAUAUUUAGGGAGUUGUGCUUGGCCGUCAACUAUAUUCACAGUCAGAAUAUUGCCCACCGUGACAUCAAGGCGGAGAAUGUCCUAUUAGAUUGGGAGGGGCAUGUGAAGCUUUCUGACUUUGGUUUAAGCAAAAGACUGACCUCUGGGGAAAAAGCCAAGGGCUUUUGUGGCACGGCACAAUAUUGCGCUCCUGAAGUGUUCGGUCACACACAAUAUGAUAUGCUCCCCGCCGAUAUAUGGAGCAUGGGAAUUUUAUUAUAUUACUUAGUUAUCGGAAAUCUCCCAUUUAAGGGUACAGUGCACAGCAAGAUAAAGUAUCAAAUACUAUCCCGGAGCUGGUGGAUACCAUAUCACCUCUCUCCACAGCUCCAAAAUCUAUUGAGAAGAUUAAUGACAAUAGAGCCCACAAUGAGACCAUCUAUAACAGAAAUAUUGGCCCACCCUUGGCUGCGCCAUGAUCAAGAGACAUUGAGCUCCUCAGGGGAAAUCCCUAGAUAUCCUGAGUCCAACAUUGCUUUUACCAUGUUCCUAAUGGGAUUCAACAUUCAAGAGCUCAGAGAUGCUUUGAGGGAAAGGAAAUAUAAUGAGGCCAUGGCUACAUAUCUUAUUUUAAAAAAGAAAUCACCCUGGCAGCCCCAAUUUUAUCAUGAUGGAGGGCACAGUAGUACACUGGACCGUAGAGAAGCUACCAACCAUUUGUGGCCUAUAAGGAGAGUAGUAAGUGCCCCUAACCUUCCCAUGUUCACUUUGCACACACACUCUGAGGUGCGUGGAGAUGGGAUAAGAGUCUGUAAGAGGAGGCACAGUUCACUUCCUACCCUUUCUUUACUUAAGGGUAGCUUCCUGGAAAACACUUCCCCACUGCAGGUGCUUAUGCCUCAUUUCAGAAAGGGGAAAUUCAGAAAGAAGGAGGGCAGCAUUGAUUCUAGAACUUCAUCUUCAAGAAAAGGAGAGUCAACAACAGCUACAAGAACAACAACAACGUCAACAACAAUGCCAAUAACUACCACUGCAUCAGAAACCACUUCCUCACUGUUCACAUCAUCGCAAAUCUCAACCUUUGAAAGCAGGCAACAUUCGGUCAAUGAGAGCUCUGAGUAUCCAGACACAAGUAGCAGCACAUCCUCUUGGGUGUCCACAAACAGCAGCCCCUUCCCCAGUAAGAAGAUCCAGGAAGAGAAUACCACAUCGUCUUCCAUAGACACAACUCAGGAGAAGAAACUCAGAAUGCAGUGCCAGGGUGUACCCAGAGUCCCUCUGAGAAGGUCGGGAUGGAAGGGCCUGAAGAAGAGGAUUGGCAAAGCCCUAAGAACCUUGUGUUGUUGCAUCCCAGUGACAAAUAACAAAAUCAUGGCAGCCAAUGAAGAGUGCUGCAGAGAUUCAGGCUAAGACAAAGUUCCACCCUGGGCUGCAGUCCCGGAAUAGCUAUGGCCCAGUACAGUGCUUUUCAUAGCACUCAGAAGCCCCUGGAAGAAACAUCCAUGCAGUACUGGUAAUUAGCAAGAAAACGGAGAAGAAACACGAGACUCCAAAGAACCUUCAAGCACAGUGAGAGUGUCAGCCCUGCUGCCUGUCUCCUGGUGUACUUGUGAGCUGAGGAGACAGUGGUCCUGGAGGCACUCAGAGGACUAUGUUCCAUGUCUCCAAGAGAUCUGUGUGAACUGGUUACAGGCAGCAACAGAACUGAGAAGCAGCGAAAGCACAUCUGGAGCAGAGAAGAGAAUUCAGAGGGUGCAGAGACCGCUCAGCCACACAGCUCUGCUGCAGUCCUCCAUAGCACAGUCACGACGAGAUGGAUCCUGAAGCCCUCACAAAUCUACCAGCUCUAGUCACUUAUUUUAUAUGGUGCACUCAAAUUUGAGUCAUUUGAUAGGUAUUCUUUACAUUCUAUACACAUACACGCACACACACAUACAUACACACACCACACACACAUACACACAUACAUACACACACAUACACAAACACACACAUACACACAUACACGCACACACACAUACAUACACACACCACACACACAUACACACAUACAUACACACACAUACACAAACACACACACACACACACACACACACACACACACACACACAAAAAUGAGUUUUAUUUGAAAUGGAGAGAAUCCCCAUUCCAAACCAGGUAAUUUCAUAUUGAGUGAUUCUGCCUUCUGGAAACAUUUCUCCAAAUCAGCUUUCUCUUUUCUCCACUCCCUUCUGACACUUUAACUACCUAUUGUACUGCUUUCUAGGAGUCAUCGGAAGCCAGUAUGGGUCUUGUUCCCCACUUUGGGCAAGGGUACCUAGCCAUGUGCUAAGUGAGGCUUACCUAUGGUCUGUCUUUUGAGGCGAUCCAAGGUGAGGUCUGAAGUGCUUGAGUCCAGAGAAGGUGCUGGUAAGAAAUAUUGCGAGAUGGGGUGGGGCAGGGAUAUGUUGAUGGUAAAACAGAUGAGAUCCCCUGAUAUGACAGUGUGGGGUUUCCUCUGAUUGGCCCAUGGUGACUUGCCCCAUUUCCACCAAGUACAAAGACACAGGGACCGCCAAGUGUGUUAAGGAGGAACUGGAUUUCUCUAUCCUCUGACCCCACUCUCUAUUGCAAACUAUUAGUUGUAUAUUGAUCAUUGCUACCACAGAACUUACUCUUGGCAUGCUCAGAUCCUUGCUACCUCUGUCACCCCUACUGCUGCUGCUUCUGCUUCUGCUUCUGGUGCAUCUGCUUCAUUGUUUUGUCCAUUGCAGGCUGGGAAGGGCCAGGAGCUUCUGGAACCAAUAAGUGAGCAUUCCAAAGCCUCAUGCUCAGGAAACUGCAGAAAACACCAGUAAUGUCAGUCAACACAGAAUAACCCUUACAGCCAGCAGCACCUGCAAGGACUUGGGAAAGGCUAUACCUUUUUGAGCAAAGAAAACCUGGGUGGAAGAGAGGCACACAGUUGGCGCUUCUUGGCUCAGGCCAUAUGGGAAGGGACAGUCAUUUACAGAUUCACAACUGGCCUUUUCUAAUUCUUUGAAAAACUCCUUAUUUUCAGAUCUCUUUCAGAGAAGAGGCUCCUGUUGAUUGAUACAGAUGUGGGGCAAAGGCAGACCCACAAGUGCAUGGGUCAAGAAGUACAAGAAAAGAAAGAUAUGUUCUGAUUCCAGGAGCAUAUAGCACCUUAUCCUGACCAGGGUGGUGAGAGAACACUAUCUGAGGCAGCUUGAAGAACUUCCUCACUGGGAACAGUUCCUUUCUGUUCUGGCAAGAUCCAAGUGACCAGGGUCCCAGAAAGCCCUUUUUUCGCAUUCAAAUUCAGUGGUCAGCCCUUGGCACUAACCGGCCUGUCCUAGCGUUAGCACAGUGCAUCACUGCGUCUUCUGUGAUGCUGUGUUCAGCUGCUUCUGGUGAUUCACUCUAGACUUUACAUCAUGUCCCAGUGGCUACUUCUGAGUCCUGCUUGCUGGGACUCCUGCCUGAGGACAUUUCUCUGGCAAUGCCCCGCGUCACAAACGUGUGAAAUGUUUGCCUGGGGAAAACACACAGAACGAAAUGUGAUGCCAGAGCUUACUGCUGUUUUGUCACACGAGUGUUUUCGACUAAGAUAAGCCAACUUCCCAGAUUCCCAGAGAGAUUAUUUCUUCUGCUGCCGAAAGAAUACCAGGAUGUAGCAGUGGAAAUAGAGAACUUCAACAGUAAACUUGGAUUGGGAAGUCCUAACCUGUAUCUACCUCACCAGUUUCUUCGUCGUAGUGUGUCCUGGCAUGCUGGGAGCUCACGUCUUCUGUAAACUCUUGGCAUCUUGGAGUGUGGAGCUUCGAUGAUCUGGGAGCUGGAUAUGGAUGAAGAACCUAGGGAGAGGGGACAGAAAAGGUGUCCCGACUUAAGAACAACCAAAAGGAAGUUCUUUCAGUCACUUGAGUAAAUAUCUCCGCUGAAAGAGUUCAAGAGAUAAGUUAACCGAAGGACAGUUGUCUCUGUUUAUGCAUGCUUUGGAGAUGAUUUGAAGGUAUACUACACAUGGAUCUAAGUUGGUGAAACUGAGGCCCAGAGACAGAUACAAUUUUCCUAAGUCAUUGUGACUAUUCCAGCAGCACAUUGGCCAGACAAGCUUUUUAUAGUAGGAGCACAGCUCUGUAAUGAGAACCAACUGGAAAAGAACUACACAACAACUUGCUGCUGUGCCAAGCUCACAUUAUCAUGCUUAUUACUCAUUUAUAUUUAGUCCUCUUAUGGAGACCCUGCAGCAGCGUGACAGAGGACUGUGAUGCUCCCAGGUGAUCUGUCUGGAACAGACAUCACUGUGUCUGGGACAUAGAGAAAAGGGGAUGAGUUACAGAUCCCUGCAGAGUACACACACAGGGACUUUUGGCUGUGCUCAUAUGGACCAUAGAUAUGGUCGAAGAAUAGAGUACUGUGAGAAGACUUCUCAGUGCUUGUGAGAAUAUUCCUAAAAAUCCAGACAUUGGCCUUGUGACCAAAGUUUCCUCAAAAUACCAAAUUGUCCAUGGACUGUGUUUUCAUGCUCCUCCCUGGUGUCUUGGAUAGAGGUCACAGUGCUGAUUUGUCCCUGCCCUUAAUCUGCCUGUUGGGAUUACAGUGAUUCUGGAAGAAUUACAGCACUUUUUAUGUGAUGCUGACUUUCAGGGUUAAUUUAAUAAAAAUUUGUUCUCUAA
Rattus norvegicus (Norway rat) is the source of this 5631-nucleotide non-coding RNA. NCBI's taxonomy places the organism in Eukaryota, Metazoa, Chordata, Mammalia, Rodentia, Muridae. The record is from RefSeq and is a predicted model, not a curated record.